RNAcentral lists this ribosomal RNA (253 nucleotides) under uncultured bacterium. RNAcentral describes it as "partial 16S ribosomal RNA". It matches the Rfam family "Bacterial small subunit ribosomal RNA", at positions 524 to 776 of the family's 1533-position model. The record is from RNAcentral.
UACGUAGGGUACUAGCGUUGUCCGGAUUUAUUGGGCGUAAAGGGCUUGUAGGUGGUUUGUCGCGUCUGUCGUGAAAUCCUGUGGCUUAACCAUGGGCUUGCGGUGGGUACGGGCAGGCUUGAGUGCGGUAGGGGAGACUGGAAUUCCUGGUGUAGCGGUGGAAUGCGCAGAUAUCAGGAGGAACACCGGUGGCGAAGGCGGGUUUCUGGGUAUUAACUGACUCUGAGGUGCGAAAGCGUGGGGAGCAAACAGG